RNAcentral lists this long non-coding RNA (1439 nucleotides) under Equus caballus (horse). RNAcentral describes it as "lncRNA (ENSECAG00000050205.1)". Lineage: Eukaryota; Metazoa; Chordata; Mammalia; Perissodactyla; Equidae. The record is from RNAcentral.
AUGGAUCAUCACCCACAGUCCUGGCACGCACACCUGCUCCUCAUGGUCAGGAUGCAGGUGAUGGUGAUAAGAAUGACUGGCCAGGGACUCAGGACUCGGGACUCAGCUCCAGGCUCAGAUAGAUCAAAGCCCUGCCCAGGUAGAAUCUUUUAGACCAGAUGGUUGAACUCGGAUUUCAGUCUUCACCCAGAAGGCCGCCUCCUGCCUCAACUCUCAUUGCAUGGUGAUGAGAUUCUCUUCAGCGCCAUGUUUAAUUCUACUUUGUAUCUGGAAAAGACAUCAUCUGAUGCUGGAAUCACCUCUACCGUGUCGUCUCUAACACCCCUAGUGACGUGAGACCCCUCUCCUCCUCACACAGAGGAUGCAUCCUGUUUUUGUUUUGAAGUGGGACAGCUCGCCUCCCGAAGUGUGCAUCUCUCUGCUCCUGACAGGCCUGAAGCUGCCAGUGUCACCACACACACACGGAGGACAGGUGGCAGGACACAUGUAUGGCCUGAUCAGCAGGUUCCAGCUCCACCCUGCCCUUCAGGCUGACAGACCAGCUCCUCUAAGGUCAGAGCCCAGCAUGCUCAGCUGAGCAGAACAUACGGUCCCUCCUUGGGAGCCUUUGAUAUUCUGGGCUGCAGCUGACUGAAAAGGACCAAAUUAUGACACCUGAUUCUUCAGGUCAGACACACCAAAUGGGGAGACCCAACUGAGACUUCCAGAGGCCUCGAGCAUGAAAAAAGAUUAUGAUUUCUUCCCUGCCAAUAUUUCAAAAUAAUAUACUAACAUGUGACAUAAGUAGACACUAUUUUGGGGCCAUCAACUAUCUGAUGCCAGAGAGCUUCCUUUGCCAUCCAGUUCCACUCCCCACUGCUCUGGGACCUGGGAAGGGAAAUGAACACACUGUUUCAACAAGUUCUCUUGUUCUUGGCUUCUGGUUGGGUUUAGCAAAUGGCAAACAGAGCAGGAGAUGAGAGGGAGGGAGGGAGGAAGGUAGAGUCCUGGGCUGGCUGUGGGUCUCUACCCCCUGCCCUCCCCACCCAGCCCUCUGUGUCUCCAAGUUCACGUUACCUUUCCAGGACCUAGGCCCCUCAGGCCAGGGAGGAAGCGGGGUUGCAGGGCCCUCUGUUAGUAGCCCAAGGACCCUGGACUAUCUUUUGUGGUUUCCCAGCACCUUUGUAACUAGUUCCCUUAUUAAACUCAACUUUGCUCAAUUCCAUUGUGUCACCUAUUUCCUGCUCGGACUUAAAUAAUGUCAAAUUAUUUCAAAAAUGUUUCCUUUGAUGCCCCAACUUUGUUGAUGUCUUCAGAACACCCUGAGCUUUUUUCUUAGUCAUCCAGUGCAUCCAGCGAGGGCCAGCCUAUAAUGCAAACAGAUCUGGAAGCUCCCAGGCUGGAGCCGCUACCCCUACAUCAUACACUGUUCAUGGGGGCAGAGGCCCUAAGGUGCACAG